Molecule: long non-coding RNA, 100 nt
Organism: Ornithodoros turicata
Lineage: Eukaryota; Metazoa; Arthropoda; Arachnida; Ixodida; Argasidae
Exons: 4
Source: RefSeq, a predicted model, not a curated record
CCGGGGACCACCACCGGACAAUGAUCACCGGGUACCACCACCAGACAAUGAUCACCGGGUACCACCGCCAGACAAUGAUCAUCGGGUACCACCACCAGAC